Molecule: ribosomal RNA, 480 nt
Filed under: uncultured bacterium
Lineage: Bacteria
Description: partial 16S ribosomal RNA
Rfam family: Bacterial small subunit ribosomal RNA
Source: RNAcentral
AUUGAACGCUGGCGGCAGGCUUAACACAUGCAAGUCGAACGAUGACUAACUAGCUUGCUAGUUAUGAUUAGUGGCGGACGGGUGAGUAACAUUUAGGAAUCUGCCUAGUAGUGGGGGAUAGCUCGGGGAAACUCGAAUUAAUACCGCAUACGACCUACGGGUGAAAGGGGGCGCAAGCUCUUGCUAUCAGAUGAGCCUAAAUCAGAGUAGCUAGUUGGUGGGGUAAAGGCCUACCAAGGCGACGAUCUGUAACUGGUCUGAGAGGAUGAUCAGUCACACCGGAACUGAGACACGGUCCGGACUCCUACGGGAGGCAGCAGUGGGGAAUAUUGGACAAUGGGGGCAACCCUGAUCCAGCCAUGCCGCGUGUGUGAAGAAGGCCUUUUGGUUGUAAAGCACUUUAAGCAGGGAGGAGAGGCUAUUGGUUAAUACCCAUUAGAUUAGACGUUACCUGCAGAAUAAGCACCGGCUAACUCUGUG